Anolis carolinensis (green anole) is the source of this 9615-nucleotide long non-coding RNA. RefSeq lists it as uncharacterized. NCBI's taxonomy places the organism in Eukaryota, Metazoa, Chordata, Lepidosauria, Squamata, Anolidae. The record is from RefSeq and is a predicted model, not a curated record. The transcript is spliced from 2 exons.
ACGUCCGACAGGUGUUGCAACAUUUGAGAGAUCAUGGACUUUAUGCAAAAUUGGAGAAAUGUGUGUUCGACCUGUCUGAAGUAAACUUUUUGGGCUAUCACAUCUCCCCUCAAGGAUUAACUAUGGACCUUGCCAAGGGUCAAGACGAACGGGAUACAGAAGAAAUCGUAAGACGGGGGGGAAGUACCAUGUCAUGGGACCAAUUCCAAGAGCUGAGUUUGCAAGCUCUUGAAUCGGAGCCAUAACAAAUUACACUCCUCUACAUCUUGCACGGAACACCUGGCAGAGAAGCCUGGGAAACUCGGGAGAGUAACCAAAACAAUUUUAAUGAGUAACUGUUUUGUAGUGAUGAUAAUUACGUGUGAUGUGACGUUGAAACAAAGGUGAUAAAGGUGAUUGUAUGUAAACAUGAUGCCAUUCUCGACUUUGUUCAUGUCGAGUGUUCUUCAAUAAAGAUCCGGUUUGAUAACAGCUACCAGUGGUCUGUCUUCAUGCCGGUCGUUUGAUGUGAGCACGACAGUUAAUAUUAACUCUAGUUAAUAUUUUAAUUUUAGUUAUUUUUAUGACUAGACAAUUUGAUGCCCAGAACAUGUCUAUUCUGGACCAUCCCUGAUGUCUAUUUGAAUAGAAUGUACAAUCACUUUCUUUCGGAUAGUGUAACCUCCAGGCAUCUGGUAAAUUAAACACUUGCUGUAUAUUUAUGCAAUUUUUGGGUAAAUUUCCUCCAGUAACCUUUCUCUUUUUCUUCCCUUCAUUAAAUUUAUCUAUUUCAGGGUCCAACACCCCAUUGAAGUCAUCCAAAAUAAUUAAGUUUUCAAAUUCCUUUUCCAUAAUUAAAUCCUUUAAUUUUUUUUAACAAAUUGAGUUUUAGGGUCAUUUGGUGCAUAAAUGUUGCAGAUCAGAAUUUUUUUCUAUAUAAACAAAAAUUCCUAGUAUUCUCUCUUCAUUGUCUUUAAAAGCCAUUUCUGCUGGGAUCUUCUCUUUGACAUAUGUCACUACCCCUCUUUCUUUUUUUUUGAUUGAUGGGAAAUAAAAUUCUUUACCUGUAUGUUUCUGUGUUAAGUGUGCCACAUCUUUUUGUGAUAUACAGUAGAGUCUCACUUAUCCAACAUUCACUUAUCCAACGUUCUGGAUUAUCCAACGCAUUUUUGUAGUCAAUGUUUUCAAUGUAUCAUGAUAUUUUGGUGCUAAAUUCGUAAAUACAGUUAUAACUACAUAGCAUUAAUGUGUAAUGAACUACUUUUUCUGUCAAAUUUGUUGUAUAACAUGAUGUUUUGGUGCUUAAUUUGUAAAAUCAUAACCUAUUUUGAUGUUUAAUAGUUUUCUUAAUAUCUCCUUAUUAUCCAACAUAUUCGCUUAUCCAACGUUCUGCCAGCCCGUUUAUGUUGGAUCAGUGAGAUGCUGCUGUAGAACUAUAGUUUGAGGAAACAAUUGUUUUCUCAGAUUGAAUGUAACAGUAAACUGUAGUUUACUACUAAUUUGGAGGCACAAGAGGCAUUAGCAUCACAAGAUUGAUACAUACAUUGAUGCAGUAAAUGAACUAACUCCCAGAAUUAGUCUGAAAUGGUCCUGAUCUAUCUUGACUUUGUUCUGGGCAAGAAAAAAAAAACUUUAUUUCUCUGAACUGUAUCCCUUCCAAUCAUAAUGAAAUAAGUUUUUGUUCUUCCCAACAUGAAGUGGCACAAGUUAAAAGGCUAUUGGAAGGUGGAGCUGGAGGAUAACUCAGGAGAGAGAAGCAAUGUUGGUUGUAAGAGAUGGUGCUGAGCCAAAUAAUUCAAUGAGCUGACUUUACAUAAGGCAACUUCACAAACAGAAGACCACAAAGUCCUCAUUUUUAUCUCCAUUGAAAAUUCAGUGGUAGGUGGGAUAGAAUAAAAUAUGAUGAAUAAUUGUACUUUGUGGCAAAUAUGCAUCUUGCUACAUUGGCUAUUUAAAGCUUUAGUAUAGAGGAUUCCAUUCAUUAUCAAUGCACAUGCCUACUGCCACACCAAGAACCAAGGUCAAUUGCUGGUUUAAUAACAUUUGUUGCACAUAGCUAUAAUGUGCUUUUUUCUCUUUCAGAGGCAAGUGGUAAUUUCACUUAUAAAGGCUUAGAACACAGGAAAUUAAAACUAACAAAAGCUGGCAAAAGGAAGCUUGUUACUUUGGCAGGAUGGCCUACUUUAUACAGAGGUUUCCUUUAUUUGUGAAUAAUUCAGAUGUCGAGUCAUUUCGCUGGAAUUGUUUCCAGAAAAUUGCUACAAUUUCUCUCCCCUUCUUAUACCGAUUGGGCAUCAUACUUCAAUGCACUACUUUGACUUUAUUGCAUUCUGGAAUGACUGCAAAAAUGGCAAAUCUUGGAGCAUUCAUGCACUCCUAAUCAAUGUUAACUAGCAAAAGAGGAAUAACAUUCUCAUUUACUGCGGUAAUCAGGACUAGAGGCAAGAGGACUGUAAACAAAUGGGUUUAUUAUAUGGAGUGUGUAUGUAUGUAUAUAUAUAGGCCCAAAACAGUCUCAGGAAGAACUGAUCUCCCCGCAGAUUUCGAAUCAAGUGAUUUGAAUCUUGCUUUGCUGGAGUUUCUUGGCCUUAAAGCAAUGGUAGCAGUAUGCUACCAGUGUGAAUCAAUGACCUGAAAUCACAAUGAUAUAUUCUAAUGUUUUCUGUUUUGCAAGCUUCCCAGUUUUGGGAAAGGAUGAGGUAUAAAUGAAGGGAUGGUGGAAUAAAGAGAGUGAUAGAGCACUGAAUUCAGUUUUUAAUCCCAACUAAUUAUAUAUUAGACCCAUAUAAUCAAUGUGAUUUACCUAUGUAUUGACUUGCCACCUCAUCACAUUGAGAGGGGAAAAAAUGGGUGACCGUCCCUGUAAGAGUAGAGAAUCACCCCUCUUAUAUCCUAAGCAGUCCCUCCCCAUCACACUAACACGUGGAAAUUUAAGAGCUGGCAAUACAUUCAUCUUACAUUCAUCACAAGGUCAGCGUUAUUUUUUUGUUUUUAAUCAGGAGAAGCAACCAUAUCCAAAAACCAAUAGAUCCCUUGCCCUGCCCAAAGCCCUUUUCAUUAAACAACACUGACACCAGUUUAAAACCAUUUCUUUUCAUUGGAUCCUAUUGUUCUGCACAAAACCCCUAUAGGAUAAAAUACGCAGUGAUCCAGGUAUAAACAUUGCUUUCCAUGUGAUCCUAUGGUUUUCCAUCAAAGAGUCUGUUGACAGCUGACAAUGAAACAGGACAGGAAACUUUUGAUUGUUCCCAUCACACCUAUUUUUCAGUUGUAAACAUGGGAGUAAAGUGCAAUAAGAGGUAGCUCUGAACAUGAUUGCUGUCCCAUGUGCAGAGUUCCUUCCUUUCAGGACAUUUCAGCCUCUUUUCAACCCUGGAACAUGUGAUGUGCUCAUUGCCUCUCCAUGCUUGAAAAGAGGGUAAAGUGUCCUACCAGGGGGAAAUUUAUCGAUGUGAUGAGGUUGAUUGCUGUAGUUCUCUCCUUUCAGGAUACUUCUGAGUCUUUUCAACCAGAGAGGACAAUGCAUGACUGUCAGGAUGCAAAAAGAUCAGCAUUCUCCAAACUGACCUUUUCACAUCUGACCAAAGCAAGGGGGGGGGGGGGAAAGAACCAGAUGAGGAAGACCAUUUGGUUAGGAAGACUGAUUUAUGACCUGCUCUGGUUUUCAAAAGUGGGAGAGGACAGUUGACGGGGAGGUGUAAAUGGGGAAGAAGAAAUGUGAGAGGGGGAGGGAAGAAGCAAAUUGAUAUACUGGGGGAUUAGCAGAAGAGGGGCAAUAUAAGCUUUGUGAUCAUCUUGGCAAGGCGGAUUCAGUAAAGUUUCCAUGACACCAGCUGUUUGAGCCUACCUUUGUGUCCUACACCUUCCAAGGACUGACAGUAAGCUUAUACUCCCUUUUUCCCUGCUCAUCCCUUGAGGAAAGUCCUUGUCGGUGAGAGCAUGAACUCAGACGGAGGAGACAACCUGAUAGAAUUCCUCCUCCUUGAGGAACACCAGGCAAACCCGUGAGGUGCAGACGAGUUGGAAGAGAAAAGGAACCCGUCGCCUGCAUUGAGCGAAGGGGGGGCAGACCCCUCAGACCUGUCGUGGAAGCCACUGACCUCCACCCAGUUACCCACUGGCAGGGGAGUGACGGAGAGACGGAAGAUCCAGAUGAGGGGGGGUGAUUUUCAGCGAGACGGAGAGGAGGCCCCGGAGACAAGAAGGAUGGAGAGGAGAUUAGAUGCGAUGGAGAAAAUGUUAGAAGCAUUUUCUCGUCAGAUGGAUCUGAUGCAGCAGCAGGUAGCUGCGUCCUGGAUGGCAACAGUCGAGCAAUGAGAGCAAAGGAGAGGGCCGCCCAUGAGAGGCACUGGGCCCCGUCCCUUUGUCAGAGAGGGCCUACUGGACUAUGAAGAUGACAUGCCUUGGCAGGGGACAUCGGCUUUCCCCACAGGCCUGUUGGGAAGGGGCCAAAUGCCGGGUAAGGGAGAAUUUUGGGUGAAGUUCAACAGGGACCCCAUUUCAUGGAGAAUUUUGGGUGUAGUUCAACGGGGACCCUAUUUCAUGGAGGAUUUUGGGGACCAAUUCCCUUCAGAAAGUGCAAAAAUCCACAUGGUGGGGGCGAACCUGAAAGAAGCAGCCGCAGACUGGCUAAUGCAGAUGUAUGAUACCGAUGACUGGGAACUGGCCUGCUUGGAGAAUUUCCUGAGAGUCCUCUGUGAGAGAUUUGAAGACCCUUUGGCAGAGGACAGGGUGAAGGCUCAGCUCAAAAGGAUAUACCAGGGAGGAAAGACUGUCAGAAUACGCCCUGGAAUUCAAAGCAACAGCGGGGAAGAUUAGAGACUGGUCAGAAACCACCAAACUGGAAUAUUUCAGGGCUUGUUUAUGCUCUGAGGUGCUUGAGUGGGCACUACACUGAGGAAAUCCGAGAGACUUGGAGGACUGGAUUCUUCUGGCGGGGUGCAUGGAGGUGGACCAACAGCAAAUACCUUGCCGUCCAAGGGAGAGCAGCAGAUUCAAACCCCCAACAACAGCGACACGGUGCUUCUCUCCUCGUCGCGGAAGGUCGACCAGCCGGGAGAGGAGAGCAGGGCGGGGUGCCUGUUUCUCUUGCGGCUGCGAGGGGCAGUGAGCGGCAGAGUGUCCAAAAAGGACAGAUACAAAGACAAAAGGAGAGAGGUUUCACAGCCAGAAGCCGCCCCUCCCGACAUACAAACCAGCAAAAGGGAAAGCUGCCAUGGCAACUGAAACAGCUUUAGUCCCAGGGCAGCUUCUAGCGGAGGAGAUGGAGGAAGAGGAGGACCUGGAGUUACUGGGAAACUACCAGGAUCUGUUUUGAAUGCCUGGAAACAGAUUGAACCAACAAAGGGUGACGGGGGUGAGUUGAGAAGGGUAAAUUGUGACAUUUAUUUUAAUGUAGAAAGCAACAUUUACUGUGCAUUAAAUGCUAUUUCAUGUUCAUAAAGUAAAGUUAAAGGUUUUCCCCUGACAUUAAGUCUAGUCGUGUCUGACUUUGGGGGUUGGUGCUCAUCUCCAUUUCUAAGCUGAAGAGCCAGUGUUAUCCGUAGACGCCUCCAAGGUCAUGUGGCCAGCAUGACUUUAUGGAGCGCCGUUACCUUCCCACUGGAACGGUACCUAUUGAUCUAUUCACAUUUGUAUGUUUUCGAACUGCUAGGUUGGCAGAAGCUGGGGCUAACAGUGGGAGCUCACCCUGAUCCCCAAAUUUGAACUGCCGACCUUUCGGUCAGCAAGCUCAGCAGUUCAGCGAUUUAACCCACUGCACCACUGGGUGCUCUAAAAGCUGUUGUUUUUUUUUUAAAAAAAAAGCAUGCUCAUAAAAGCUGUUUAAUAUAUAAAAACAUGCAGGUUUUGUGCAGAAUAAGUUCUGAACUGGAACUAGCCUUUACACAUUCUCAUAAUGAGAAGAAAAAUGUUUUAAAAGUUCUUAUUGCUUCUUUAAAUUAGUGUAUUGGUGAAGAAUUUACAAAUUAAUGAAGAAUUAACCUGCUUAGUAAGUGAUAACAUAAUAAGAUGGUUAAUUAAGUAUAGUGUAAAGAAAAUAGGGCCAUCCAAAAAAAGCUGUAAGCAGAAAAAUACCUUUUUAUGGAGUUCACUACCACAAGGGAUCAUGCGAGGUGCCAGUCAAAUUGGUUUUAAAUGAAAAGUAGAUAAAUUGAUGGGAAACAUCUCUAGCAGAACUUACUAAUCAUGACAGGUAGAUACCACUUCUAGAAUCAGAGAUAAUUUCACAUGCUAGUUAAUAGGAUGUGCUCUGGUACCAUUGUUACCUUGAAGAACAGGAUGCUGGGCAGAUAGGUGUUUGAUCUUUACAGUAUUCCUUUCCAUUCUUGUUUUAUGUCCAGAUUCAAAUUCAGGCCAUGAAAUCUGAUUCUUCUGGCAGCAUAUGAUUCAAAGGUUACAGAGUCAAAAGGAAUCAGAAUUGGACUGAAAAUGUAAUAAAAAUAGUAAUAUCUCAAAUAAGAUUUGCAGUGUCCCCAAUACAUCAGAUCAAAUAAAAAACAGACCAUUGCAAAAAAUACAGCACCAGCAGAAACUUUUUCAAGUGCUUUUGCAUCUGGUUUUCUUUCUUUUUUUUUUUUUUUCUUUUCAGGAGAACCUUUUUAUGCCCUUGAAAGAAACAAGAAAAAAUAUAUACAUAGCACAAGUCACUUUUGAUUUAGGAACACUUUCCUUCCAAGCCCACUUACAAUAUAAGUUAUAUUCCUGCUGACAUUAUUUAUGACUUACAUAAAGUCAAUUUUCUUCAUUUUUCAGAAAUAUGUGAGAUAGAUUCAUAGAAUUUGGAAGAGACAGGACCAUCCUGUCCAACCCCCUUCCACGCAGGAACAUACAAAUCAAAGCAUUCCUAACAGAUCCAGUUUUUGUUUAAAAACCUCCAGAGAAGGAGACUCUACCAUACUUCUUUUUUUUCUUUUUUUUAAUUUGAAAUAUUUUAUUUAUUUAUUUUUUAUUUUUUUAAUAUUUUUAUUGUUAUUAUUGAGAAAAAGUUACAAUUAUAUAAACAUAUUCUAUACAUUUCCCCCUCUUUUAUUUACAUUCACCCCUGUGCUCCCCUUCCCCAGAGCCAUCUCUUCUUCUGUAGUCCCACCAAAAGUUCAAUUCUUCAUUUCUUCAUUCCCAUCUUCUUUUUCCAAUAUUUUUUUUAGAAAUUUUCUCCAAAUACUUUCAAAAUCAUUUUUUUCCAUAAUCCCUUCUUUACUUUUAAAUUUGAUGUUAGCUUGUGCAUCUGGUUUUCAAGAUGCAAAUGGAACAGUUAUCAUCCUAAGUGUAUGCUAUUAAUCUGUGUCACAUACAUUUCUGGCAGGCCUCUGAAUAAUAUCUGAAAAAUAUGCACCACAGUAAAGAUUCAAAACAUUGAACACAAUAUGUAACUAAUUACUCAAAACCAACUGACAAAACUCUAUUUUGCAUUAUAAUAGCUACCACCAUCACUCACUCAAAUGCAAUUUACCUUACUCUCAAUUUCUCAGAAUCAAGAAGAACAACAGCAAGCCUUUUCAUUACCUUUCAGCAGCCAGUUCACUUAGCAGCAAACUUAAAGCUAGAGGCUAUCCAGCCAAGGUACUAAAACAGGCCUUUCAGAAGUCCUUACAAAUGGAUAGUUCUUUAUUAACAUACAAACCAAAACAACAGCAAAAUAGGAUAAUUUGUCCAUUAACACCACACAGACCCCACACAUCCGCAGUAUUAUUUACAAACAUUGGCACCUCAUACGGGAGAUCCCAGGUUGCAAAGAUACACCCAUUAUAGCACACAAAAGAUCACAAAACUUAAAGGAUAUCCUUAUCCAUUCUGAUUUUCAAAAAAACAAUACAGAAUCCAGAAGUAUCACGACAGGAAGUUUCAGGUGCGGUCACUGUGAUGUCUGUUGUCUCACGGUCGACAUUAAACUGUUUGUUCAUCCAUCAUCAAAUAUUAAGAUUAAAUUGAACGACUUGAUUACAUGUUCAACUGAAAAUGUAAUAUACGUAAUUCGAUGCCCUUGUGAUUUACUUUAUAUUGGGAUGACUAUCAGACCCUUGAGAGUUAGGAUACAGGAACAUCGGUCCAAAAUCAAAAGAGAAAGUUUAGAUUCCACUUUAUAUAUGCAUUUUCAUGAUAAAUCUCACCCCUUUAAUAGCUUUAGAUUUUUUGCUUCAGAGAAGUUACAUACUACUGACAAUGCUGACAUCAGAACUGGUCUCCUCAGAAGGGAAACUUUUUGGAUCCACAAACUGAGAACAACCACACCUCAUGGUUUGAAUGAUAAACUUGACUUCAGCUGUUUCCUGUAAUUAUAUAUUUAAACUGUCAGAUGACCACUAAUGGCAGCUCGCACUAUAGAAUCCACAAUCAGCACGUAGACCUCAAAUCAAGGAAGGGCUUCAUGAGAACCACCACUCCUCUUGAUGUUCCUCCAGCAGCAGCAAGGGUGUCCCUCUGGGCAGCUAAACCUGGCAAUUCUAACUGGAUGGCCCCCCUCGAGGGUCUUCCUCCAGGGGCAAACCAAGAAUGGGCAACUUGGAAGUCCCUGAACAGACUCAGAAGUGGAGUGGGCAGAUCUAAAGACAACUUGGCAAGGUGGCACUACCUGGAGGAAUCCUCCACCUUGUGUGACUGCGGAGCAGAACAAACAACUCCGCAUAUGUAUGCUUACCCACAAUGUCCUGCCUCAUGCACGGAGGAGGAGUUGUUUAAAGCUACGGACAAUGCGGUUGCUGUUGCCCGUUUCUGGUCUAAAACUAUUUAGUUGUUUGUGAUUUCCUCUAUUUUUUUUCUUCAUCAUUUUUAAAUGUAUUUGUUAUGCAAUGCUUUUGACACGAAAUAAAUAAAGCACGUAGACACUGCGAACAUGUGAGUUGACAAUUGUGACUAUUAAGCCUGGGAGUAAACACUAUGCUAAAUAUAGCAUUUGUUGAUAUGUCUAUUUUCACCUGGUCUAUAUAAAUCAUAUGUGAUAUCUUAUAAAGAGCACUAUAUUAGACCAUUUUCCUUUUAUCUUUUUAAGAAAACUUGAAGCUGAGCCAACAAUACAAAUAUUCAAAACAUUGCCACUUACCAGAUGAAGGGUUAUCUGAAACUGGAGUAAACCGGGGAACCAGUAGUAAAUGGCUUAUGUAAACAGCUUACUUCGGCUCACAGCCAGCCACUUUAAAAUAACAUCUAUCUGACCGGGCUUCCUGGCUGGGAACUGUAAAUGACUGCAACAUUUGUUACAAACUGAAGCUACAGCCAAUUGACUGCAUUUACAUCCUGAGAAGUCCUAUAGAACUACUCCAAGACUACAGAGACUUUGAUUUGUUUUGACUCCAAGCCAGGUUUGAGCCAAUUGAUUUGUACACUGAUAUAUUUAGUUUUACAGCAUAUUACAUGCCAUUUUGAAGAGACUGAAUGUACACAAACUGUGUCGCUAACAAACUUUAGUUGGAGUCUUGUUGAUAUUGUUGAUAUAUGUCUGAUAUAUGUUUUAUACUGAAAACUGCUCUGUGUAGCAAUUAAAUCUAGAUGAUUGCAGUCUAAAAAUAUACUCUGUAAGUUACGACUGUGUGCCACUACAGCUGACAGAAUUGGAUCAUCAGUUGUAUUAUUAUUUGUAUUAUUGUUAACAUUAUUAUGUAUAUGAUGCUCUAAUAUACAUAUUGUGUUCUAUGUUUUGAA